RNAcentral lists this ribosomal RNA (301 nucleotides) under uncultured bacterium. RNAcentral describes it as "partial 16S ribosomal RNA". It matches the Rfam family "Bacterial small subunit ribosomal RNA", at positions 509 to 808 of the family's 1533-position model. The record is from RNAcentral.
CAGUCGCCACGGUAAUACGUAGGUCCCGAGCGUUGUCCGGAUUUAUUGGGCGUAAAGCGAGCGCAGGCGGUUAGAUAAGUCUGAAGUUAAGGGCUGUGGCUUAACCAUAGUACGCUCUGGAAACUGUUUAACUUGAGUGCAAGAGGGGAGAGUGGAAUUCCAUGUGUAGCGGUGAAAUGCGUAGAUAUAUGGAGGAACACCGGUGGCGAAAGCGGCUCUCUGGCUUGUAACUGACGCUGAGGCUCGAAAGCGUGGGGAGCAAACAGGAUUAGAUACCCCAGUAGUCCCUGUCUCUUAUACA